Molecule: unclassified non-coding RNA, 216 nt
Filed under: soil metagenome
Description: partial contains 5.8S ribosomal RNA, internal transcribed spacer 2, and large subunit ribosomal RNA
Source: RNAcentral
AACCAUAGAAACCUGCGGAGUACCUGCGGAAGGAUCAUUACCGAGUUUACAACUCCCAAACCCAUGUGAACAUACCUAUCGUUGCUUCGGCGGAUCGCCCCGGGCGCCUUGCGUGCCCCGGAUCCAGGCGGCCGCCGGGGGACCUUAACUCUUGUUUUUACUGAGAAUCUUCUGAGUCGUUUUUACAAAUAAAUAAAAACUUUCAGCAAUGGAUCU